AUAUGAGUGGGAUAUGUUAACAGGGGACGUGGAGUUGAUAGAAUCUUUGGACGGUCACUGUGAUGUUGUUUAUGGGACACUUGAUCUCCGAAAACUUUCUUGGUGGCAGUCUAAAAGAGAUUUUGUCUUUUCUCGGAGGUGGUUUCAUGGUCAAGAUGGAACAUAUACAAUUUUGCAUUUCCCAACUGAAUACAAAAAGCGGCCGCCAAAAAGUGGAUAUCGACGUAUAAAAAUGAUCGCUUGUUCUUGGGAGAUCAGCAAUAUAGGCACUUCCUCCUCAUUAAAGCCUGCCAGAUGCCUUGUGACACUGAUUCUGGAGAUACGUUCUAAGGCCUA
Molecule: unclassified non-coding RNA, 336 nt
Filed under: Hevea brasiliensis (rubber tree)
Lineage: Eukaryota; Viridiplantae; Streptophyta; Magnoliopsida; Malpighiales; Euphorbiaceae
Source: RNAcentral